Molecule: ribosomal RNA, 332 nt
Filed under: uncultured Clavulina
Lineage: Eukaryota; Fungi; Basidiomycota; Agaricomycetes; Cantharellales; Hydnaceae
Description: eukaryotic LSU rRNA
Rfam family: Eukaryotic large subunit ribosomal RNA (bases 277-332)
Source: RNAcentral
GUAUUCCGGGGAGCACGCCUGUUCGAGUGUCGUGAAAUUUCUCAAGCUUGGAUGGCUUUUUUGUCCGUCCUUAGCCUUGGUUGUUGGGCUUUGCCGUGCCCUUCAUUGGGACGGCUGGCCUUAAAAGCAUUAGCUGAUCCUCGUGUGGCACUGGUUCUACUCAGCGUGAUAAUUGUCUGAUCGCUGAGGACAUCUUUUGGGAUGGCCAGUCCUCAUUUGGGUUGCUUCUAAACCUGGUCUUGCAGAUUCUUCAAUCUGUGUUCCACUUUUCAGCUUUGACCUCGAAUCAGGUGGGACUACCCGCUGAACUUAAGCAUAUCAAUAAGCGGAGG